Long non-coding RNA from Mus musculus (house mouse), 24977 nucleotides. RefSeq annotates it as predicted gene, 51666. The transcript has 3 exons. The record is from RefSeq and is a predicted model, not a curated record. NCBI's taxonomy places the organism in Eukaryota, Metazoa, Chordata, Mammalia, Rodentia, Muridae.
CACACUCACACACUCCAAACCCUAUGAGGCAUGACACUACUGACAGGGUUUUGUGGAAAGAUUGUGUUAGAAAUAGAUUGUAUCCCACCUUCUAGAAGUUUCCAAUCAUAACCAUCUCACCAAGAUCCAUCAAAUACACAGAUGCAGUAGCCAUGGAUUGAACUAAUGGGACCCUACAAUCUAAAUGACACUCAAAGCUCACAUCUUUAAAGUACUUCUAUUGCUGAAGUAAAAUCUUUUCUCCAGACACAUGGGUUUGAAUUAUGGUGUAGAGCUUUUAAAAGGUUCCAAUCAAAUACAGAUGAGAAUGGAUAGACACCAUCAUUAAAACCUCAGUGCAAAAGAGUUUCUUAGAAAACACAAUGUGAACUUGCAGAAAGGAGAAUCAGGACCUAAAAAAAUGUGAGUUGGAAGUGGGUGAUCAAUAGUGAGGGUGCAGCUUUAAAUGGAGAAGGGUGGAGGUCAGAAUAGAGAAGCUGAGAGCUACCCAAUUGUACCUUCCAGUAACUUGGGUGGCAUGGGACAGGAGAAGGAACCAUGUGCUGAGGCACAGAGACAACAGCAUGUUUUAGAAAGGAGUUUAUUAUACUGACAAGUUGGAGGGAGGAUUUCCAAGAUGCAUCUGCUACUGAGGGCUGGUAGACUCCGUAGACAGGGUCAUCAUAGCCUUAAUGCCCACUAAAAUGUGUUAAUUCAUUUGAAUAUGGAGAAAUGGUAAGCUUUUAAGCUAUAUUAAUGUUCUUGUAUAUUAUGAUUGUUAACAUUCAUUGUGAACUUGACAGAAUGUAAAAUCACCCAGGAGAGGAACCUCUGGCUGUAUCUAUUAUAAGAGAUUAUUUAGAUUAGGUUCUCUAUACCUGGAUGUGGGCAGCACCUUUCCACAGAUUAGGGUCCUAGAAUGAAUAAAAAGGAGAAAGCAAGCUGAGCUCAUUAUUGUCUUUCUCUGCUUCCUGACCAUGAACACAGUCUAACCAGCUGGUUGCUAGGCUGCUGUCACUUCUGCCUCACCGUGACCGACUGUACCCUGAACUGUGAGUCAAAAUAUCUCCUUUUACUUCAGCUGAUUUUCCAUAGCAACAGCCAGUGCUGACUGCUUCUACCCUGAGAUUCUGUUGAAGAGUGCCACUGGAUCCUUCCAGCAUGGAAGAAAUUGUGAAUCCUGGCAUUAUAAUUAUAUAGGAACAGCCAGAUUACAGGGCACACCUAUAAUCCCAGCACUCUGGAGGCUGAGGCAGGGGGAUAUGAGGUACCGGUACCUUCUACACAAUGAGACUCCCUUCCGAAGCAAAAGUUAGCAAUGCCAUGAAGCAGUGUGCCAGCCGGUACAGGCUCCCUCGGCCAAUACUUGGCCUCUUGAUGGUUGACAUGCUGUUGUUGCCUUUUGGCCUUUACCAUGUCUCUCGUCUAACUGUUUUGGACACAGUGUGCAUGCAGAGGCAGCCAAGAAGAAAGAGCAGCCGGGUGAAGAUGCCCAGCAUGUCCGGGGAAUGGGUAAGGAUAGACUGCAGGGAGAGAAUGGUGCCAUGAUUGGUUAGAGGUUGAUGGAGAAAUCUCUGCAUGUCAGUCUUGAAGCUUCAUUAUAAGAGAGAGAAGAGACUAGAAGUCACUCCACCAGUGAGCAGAUUUAUUAACUACAUAGAGAAAGCUCUAAGCCACAUCCUGUGUUGUCAUUCAAGACUUAAAGGAGAUACUGCAAAGGGUACUUUGAAUUUUUCACAAGAAAUCCAAAAUUGCUAUGAUGGUGUGUGAGAUGCUGUACUGAGUACACCCUCUGGGUGGUCAUUCUUUGGGGGUGUGGCCAUCCACACAAGUCUAGUUUGGUUAACACUUCACAUAAGAAUCCUGACUUUCUUCUCUUAAGAUCCAGUGGGCUGCGGCUCUUCACCCCCUCCCCCUUUCUCAGUCUUCUCUGAACAUCCCCUUGCCUUUUGAGACAUAUGGUCUCUGCUGGGGUAGGCAUAAGCCUGCUUAGGCUAGCUAAGUCUACAAGCAGUGACCUGUCAUCCUUGAGGCUGCAGAGGUGGUACCAAGAGCACUUAUGGGGGACUGCGGCCCGUCAGUAAACAGCUCUGUUUUAAACAGCUGCAUUUCACUCUUGCAAAGGACUUGAAACAUAAACUUCCUGGAGGGAUUUGAAAGCGCCAUGAUUGCACGAUCCUCUGGUUUCUGUUUCUUCCCCUGCCCCCAUCCUUUUCCACAAACUAAAUGUACUCUUUGUCUCCUGUGCUGCCAUGGAAACAAGCGAUGCACCUCACAAAGGUAACAAUUCAUUCCGCAGGCCACAGUCCCUCAAGUAGAUUCCUGUUCCUCUCAACCAGGCAUGCAGGAAAGAUUGAAAUCUGUAGCUGCCUGGAGGGUGUGUGUGUGUGUGUGUGUGUGUGUGUGUGUGUGUGUGUGUCUGUGUCUGUGUCUGUGUGUCUGUGUGUGUGUCUGUGUGUGUGUCUGUGCGCUUACCUGGGUCACCAUGUGAGUUUUCCUUACUGCCCAUUAGUGAUGUGGUUGUCGCUAGAAAUUACGGAUGAUCUAGAAAGAGACUGGCUCAAAAGAUCACGAGUGACUUCUCAUUGGUUACUACAGUGAAAUGUUUGGGAUCUUGGAAUAAUACAUUUGAGCUCAUCACAACUCUCAAAGGGGAAAGUAAUUCCUCCCUGGUUUACAUUUCCUCUUGCAAGUGUCACUUCCAAGUUUAUCAUCAGAAAAAUCCUUUAGUAAGGGAGAGAAGAAACUCGAGACUUGGGUCCUUUUCCAAAGAUAUUAUACAGCGCCCUUUCUUUUUUAGCCUUGCAGAACUGUGGACUUUUUGUCAGUUAAUGCUGCUGGAUUGACUAUGUCCAACCCAAUAGUAAGUUCUCUAAGCAUGGGCCUUGGGUCCAAUGCUUCACUGCAUAUGUACCUGCCACGAUGCUUGCUGUGGCUGAAUUGCUUUCUAAAAAUAGCCAUGUUUUGUCUCAGUCCCCAGGACACUGACCCUUUUAGGCACUAAGCAUCAAUUAGCAAGAAGUCUGUAGCUGUGGGGAUCCUUUUCAUGCUCAAUCCACGUCCCACUAGCUUCUACAUCAGUGUAAAGCCUUGAGAACGGGAGCCAAGAGGAAGAUGAACAUCAUCAAAAUGAGGCAAAACUGAAGGGGUGGGAACGUGGUGAUGGGCUCAGGGUAAUCGUACGCCACUGUGCUGAUCCCAAACUGGCACAGAAGCUCCUAGUGACUGACUCCGUGCCAGGAGGGACGUGCGGGAGUCACAAGGCACACUUUCUGUGUGAAUCUAGACACAAACUUUCACUCCUUUAAGAAAAAUUGUGGGGUUUGAGUUGGUUGAGGGCUUUGCUGUUGGUAGACCAGCUAGGGAAAAUACACUAGAUGUGUCUGGAAAUUCUGUCCAUAACUUUGCUCCUUAAGACUCAAGCUUCAAGAGAUUUUAUCACUUCAACAUAAUAACCAUUCUUUAUAAAACUUGAAAUAAAAAUGAGAAUUCUUUAUUUGUAAGACAGGAUUUUAGUAUAUACAUACAUACAUACAUAUAUACAGAUAUUUAUACAUAUAUGUAUCUGUAUGUAAAAAAUCAUGAGAUAUUUUGUAUGCUAACAUUAAGAUUAAUUUAAAGAUAUUCAAAGUAGAUAUCUUUCUUAUAUAGUCAACUACUACAUUAAAUAAUGUCAUUCCAGGUCUAGUUCAUGAUAACGAUAUCCCAGCUUGUUCCCGUAAUCCCUGCAAAGACUUGCAGGAGCCUUUCAGAGAUGGACCCACUGUGUUGGACACAGAGAAGAACACAAUAUUCUAUAAGGCCUGAAGGAAAAAAAAGAAUAACUGCUUUGUGCAUGAAAUACUUUAUCCAUGACUCACUUUUUGCCCAAAAUAUAUCGAAGUGAAUCCAAAGUAAAUGCUAUGUCUAGCAUGCUGGCACGACUCCUAAAACUCUGAAUGUCCUUCUCAGCAGAAUGCACAGUGCAUUGCCAUCAUCAAUCAUGACAGUGCUCUCUCCCACUUCACUUGGAGGGUCCAGCUCCAAAGGGCUCUCUGGAAGGCUAACGGCAUCCUGCUUUCCCUCAGAGUUUUUGGCUCUGCUAUGAUGAUUUUAGCACUUUCUGCCUUGUAUUGUUUUUGGCAACUGUUACAAGUAUGUGAGGUUUUUUUUUUUUUAAUUUUUAUUUUAAAAUUUUUUUACUUCAGUAUGAUUUCAAAAGUCAACAGGAGACAAGCUUCUCAUGGCUCCACUAACCCAUCCCAGCUCUAGCCCAGGGAAACACUCACUGACUAAUUGGUGAUUAGUGUUAUUGGGCAUCCAGUUGGUCUGGGCACUUGGUAGUACAUAGGGCACCAAUGCUUCUCUGCCUAGGCUCAUGAUGAAGCCUGUCUUUGUAAGCAUCACUAACUGAUAACAUUUCUUUCUUCUUAUUUUUUUUACUAGAUGUUUUCUUCAUUCCAUUUCAGAUGUUAUCCCCUUUCCUAGUUUCCUCUCCGAAAGUCCCAUAUACCCUCCCUCUCUCCCUGCUCCCCAACCCACCCACUCCCACUUCCUGGCCCUGGCAUUCCCCUAUACUGGGGCCUAGAAUCUUCGCAAGACCAAGGGCCUCUCCUUCCACUGAUGGCUGAUUAGGCCAUCCUCUGCUACAUGUGCAGCUAGAGACAUGAGCUCUGAGGGUACUGGUUAGAGACAAAGUUUGGAGCAGAGACUGAAGGAAGGACCAUCCAGAGAAUGCCCUACCCAGGGAUCCAUCCCAUAAACAACCACUAAACCCAGACACUAUUGCAUAUACCAACAAGAUUUUGCCGACAGGACCCUGAUAUAGCUGUCUCCUGUGAGGCUAUGCCAGUGCCUGGCAAAUACAGAAGUGGAUGCUCACAGUCUUCUUUUGGAUGGAACACAGGGUCCCCAACGAAGGAGUUAGAGAAAGUACCCAAGGAGCUGAAGGGGUCUGCAGCUCUAUAAGAGAAGCAUUUCUUUCUUUCUUUCUUUCUUUCUUUCUUUCUUUCUUUCUUUCUUUCUUUCUUUCUUUCUUUCUUUCUUUCUUCCUCUCUCUCUCUCUCUCUCUCUCUCUCUCUCUCUCUCUCUCUCUCUCCCCCUCCCUCCCUCCCUCCCUCCCUCCCUCUCUCUCCCCCUCUCUCUCUCUCUCUCUCUCUCUCUCUCUUUUCUUUCUUUUUUUUGUUUUUUUGUUUUUUUUGUUUUUUUUUUGUUUUUGUUGUUGUUGUUUUGAGACAGAGUUUCUCUGUAUAGCCCUGGCUGUCCUGGAACUCACUUUGUAGACCAGGCUGAUCUCAAAGUGCUGGGAUUAAAGGUGCGCGCCACCACGCCUGGCUAGUAGAAGCAUUUCUUGUCCAGGCGUAGAGCUGUUACUUCCUAUGGUACAGCUGAAAGGUUUCAGAGAAGAGAAAGCACAGAUGCUUCAAGAAGUUGCUGCUGUUUUCUGUGGUGGUGGGAGUUAGAUUUGUUUCAAAAUGUUGGUCAGUGUCUGUAAAUGUAUGAGGCAGAGAGAACCAGUAUUGUCUGUUCAUUGUUUGGGGCUGAAGUAUGGCUAUUGAUAUAUUCCAUGUUUUCAAACUGCAAUGUCAAAACAAAGCCUCUCUUAGUUUUACACCAGCCUUCUUCUACUGUUAGUGGCUUUAGGGACUUCAGUAAGUCUUAAACGUCUUUCCAGUAUCUGACUGUAAGUUAUCCCCCUCCUUUCAAAUUUUCUCUGUUUUCAGAACACUCUGAGGCUCUGAUCUUCUACCUCACAUCUGCUUGACUUGUGUUGUCCAUGUAGUAACAAAAGCUGUGUCCUGUUCAGACCAACAUACAGCCUUUGCCUUCUCCCCUUUUCCUUCCGUCCCUUCCUCUUCCACAACUCACCCCCAUCCUCCUUUGUGGUUUCUUCCUUCCCUGUCCCUUCCUCCCUCCAUCUCUUUCUUUUUAAUGCUGAGAACGGAAACAAUCAUUUCCCUUUCAGUGUCUAUGCAUCCGUCUCCUUCCCCUUGGCAUGCUCUCCCUCCCAGGACUCCCCUCUCUCAUAGCUAGCUCUCCUUUUCCUUUCAUCUCUGAGGGUGGAUCCAGCAGAGGUCUUUUUCAUGACUGCUACAUCUAAGGAUAUGGCUAUUGUCUGUCCACAAUUACUUGCCAGUUUCCUUUACAAUAUUUAUAAUUUCAAAUAACUCUAUUAAUUAAGUUCCAUUUUUAAAGUCUGAUCUCCCAUGUUAUAAAAUAACCUAUAGGGAAAGGCUUAGAGGACAUGGCUGUUUUUUGACCAAUGCAUAUUAUCUUUAGUAUGACUUGAAGAAAUCUGCCAGAGAGAGGAGUGUUUAAAGCAAAUAAAAAACGCCUCUAAGAAACUUGGAGAUGCUGAAUGAUAUUCUGAUGGUAGAAGGAGUUGUCUUUUCUCUUAGCUCACAUGUCAUUAUUUUUCCAUUUUCCUGCACUGAAUGCAUACCACCUAAAAGCAGAUUAAAGUGGGCGCUCACUGCAUAUCUCUGCCCUUGUUAACCACACCCCACAUUCUUGGGUGAAAGAUUUUCAGUCUAGAACAUUCCACUUAACCAGCCCCAGUGGACAGGAUCAAGGCAGACAGUGGGCUCGAACUGAGUGUUUUAACUACUUUUUAGCAAUGGACAAUCAAAACAAGGGUUCUUCCUGCCCCCCAGUCCCGAGUAUUUGAAGGGAGAGAAAUGGCUGCUCAGGGCUCUUCCUGCCCUCCAGUCCGGAGUAUUUGAAGGGAGAGAAAUGGCUGCUCUGGUGCUUUUGAAGAUUGGCUCACAUAGGCUCGUGCAUUUGAAUGCUUAGUUACCAGGGAGUGGAUUAGGAGGUGUGACCUUGUUGAAGGAAAUGUGUCACUUUUUUGAGGUUUCUUAGCUACUUCUCCAGCACUACCUCUAACUGCCACCAUGCUCCCUGGUGUGGUGGUGAUGGACUAAGCUCCUGCAACUGUAAACGAGGCACCAAUUAAAUGCUUUCCCUUAUAAGAGUUUCCUUGACCAUGGUGUCUCUUCACAGUGAUAGAACAGUGACUAAGUCAGCUGGUCUCCUGACUGUGUCUCCUAAGACAGUCAUCCUUAGUGACACACAGGAAGAGACAGAGAAAGCAUGGGUCAUCUGCAGGAUGUAGGAGAAUGGAACUGACUCAGAGGGCACACCAGGAAGAGAGGACAGGCAGGGAAAGUCUCUAGCUUUCCAAGACUGGCUUCCAGCAUUUAGGGGGACUCGUGAGAUCCCUACAAUUUACCUUUCCACACUUGACCACAGGCCCACUUUGAAUCUUUUGUUCACUGGAGCCUUUUUAAGAAAGCUCCUGCUGUGUAAACAAACUACUUCUAUCUAAUUAAAACAAAGAUGAAAACAAGCUAACAAUUGCAUUCAAAUUAAAAUUUUUAUAGAAUAAAUGAAAAUGAAAAGCUAAGCACACACAUUUAUUUUGGUGUCCUUUUUAACUUUACAAGUUAUCCCAGCUCUUCCACAGCCUUUCUGGAAGAGGAACACUCUUGAUCAAGAAUGAGCCGUGUUCUCCACAGCAAAGGCAGAACAGGGUUACUUCCUGUUGUCUCCACAUGUCUGUAUGGCUAGUCAAGGUAGGUCCCAAGAUUACAUCUCCACCAUUCUCUCUUCAGUGCAAAAGAGCAGUCUGGAAAUGAACCGUCUAUGGGAGUCGUGUUUGGACACCUGAGGAUUGCAAUGUGCAAACUGGUUUGGGCACAAUCACCUGGAUAGAAGAUCAGGAGGAGCCCUUUAGGACCCUGCAGGGUCCAGCUCGUUAACUACAUCACGUGAGAAUGUUUGGGAUUCACCUGAAUCUUCCAGCUGAGGCAGCUGAAAAAGCCAACAUCGAGUCACAGAGACUGAACUCUGCAGAGGAAAUGGCAGUUUUCAUCAGCAUGCACUUGGGCACGCACUUGAAAAGGGCUUGGAUCCUCCCACCAGCUUUCCGACAUGGCUUUGCUGCAGAGCCGGAGCCACUUGAGUCCACAGAACAGCUCUGGUGCUGUCCAUCUGCCACAGUCCUUCCUCUUGUCUGAGUAAAAACAAUGCACCUGUCUGUGGGAAGCCAGCACCACCCUGCAACGAGCAUAUUCUCUUAUCUUCUAGCCCCCUCCCCUCAAGGCCCUUCUCUCUUCCCAACAAUGUCCUUGCUAUUCUAUGCCUUUUCCAUCUGUUUAGCGUGGCCCACUGCAUUUCCCUAGGAUUGCCUGCAUAGGUGUGGGUGAUAGGACUAUUCAGUUGGGCAAGGGCAUCUCACCAGUGACUACACCACUAAAGAAUAUGAUCUCUGUCCCCACAGCAAGCACCAACUGCCUACAUCUCCUCAGGGACGAGUGGGACCUUAUGGGGAAAACCCCCAACUAUUCCUAGAAGUCAAGAAGUAACAUCUAGAGUUUCACUAAUCAGAAAAGCUCCUGUCUCUACUGGACUGUGCUGAUGUCGAGGAACAGCUAAAUGGCAGAUAUGGGGGUCCCAUUCAAUGUCCUUAUCAGGAGACACAGGCUUAGGUUCAUCUCUUAACUAGUAUGACAAGGCUGAAGCAUACCAGGACAAUACAGAGCCAGUGAGUCUGAUCUUAAAAUGGCAAAGUAGCAGAUGGGAAUGGGUGGAGCAGGCAGCAAGGUGGCACAAGAGCCAUAAGUGCACAGAAUUAUGGGGAACCCCUGGCCUUCUAUGAAGUUCUGACUGGAGAUCUAGAGGCAAGAAGGGGCCCUUGGGCUCACAGGUAGGUCAAAGCUGAGCAUUUUACUCAGGGGGUCAAUAAGGUAGAGGUGGGGACAUUUGCUUAACUACAAGCAUCCUCCAAACAAGCAUGGAUCACAAUUAACUAGAUGCACGUGCCACAUGUUACCUCGGUGAAAUCUGGCCAGCACAGGCAUGCUAUCGACACUAGUAUCUAUGUGUUAGACUCUGUCCUAUAGAGAUUUUGUUCUCAUAAAUUGCAAGGAGUAGUCAUGGCAUUUAUGAAGUCACUGGCAUCAAAUAGGACAGGAUAACAAUGAUGACUAUAAAAAUGCCUAGAAGUGAUUGACUCUUGGGGAAAACGCACAGUGUACUAACGGGCAAGUGUGCUAAGUUUAGUGGGGUGGUCAGGAAAGCCUUCCCAGAGGCUGGGGUGGGGGGCACAGAUGCCAGCCUGCAAAAAGGGUAGCUACAAGUGAGGGCUCAGGGACUGUGGAGAUGGAAUGGACCACUUGCUUUUCUUGCUGGAGGCUGACAGUGUUUUUUGUCUCUCUGUGUGCUGCUGUAAGAGCGAGCAAGGACAUCUGCCUGUAUUCUACAUGCUUUUAAUUCCUGGUCAGAUUCUCACUACAUGAGCAUAUCUCUUUUGACUGGGUAGGUUUCUGAAAGGCACUCAAGAUACAACAUAUGCCGCCCUGCAGGGAUGAAAAGCCAGAGACGGCAGGUACUCCUACUGAAGAGCCACAUUGCAAAACACAAUUCUUCUUCAUUUAGCCUUCCCUGAACUGGAACAGGACCCUGCCAGCCAGCCUGUAGCACAGUGUACCUUUUCUGUGUUCCAUGCUGCCCUAACAACAUAGCAAGUAGGAGGUCCUGGCGUGUGUGUGCAAUUUGGAGACAGGUUUUGUGCUCAGCUGCUAAGCCUUCUGGUGUUCAGCCACGGGGACAUACGGUGCUGAACCCUCGGAAUCUGUAGGAUUGGGAGGAAGAGGGUGGAAAAAUAAAAUAGGUUUCCAAAUUGCUUUCACCCAACAACUGACUCCUUUUAGUUUAAAUGCAUUCUGCUUGUUGGGGUGUGGUACUGAUCCCUAGGUAUGGCAAAGAGAAGACGGUUUUGAUUUUCAGCUUAUCAGUACAGCCAUUCAACAGUGGCUGUAUCAAGGCCCUACUAAGUACAACAUACUGUGGUAUCAUAUAGGAGAAACACAGAGAAAUAAACAAUCAAACAAGAACCAAUGAAUUGUUUUUAAAGAGCAAAGGCGAAGCUGUCAGCAAGCAAUCUUUGAGUUAUAAUAAUAUAUGGUGAACUGAAUCGAUAGCUGUUCAUCGAGGUAUCUGAAUGGAUUGCAUCGGACCCAGAGGGUAAGGUCUAACCUUGUAUGUAUGAGAUCAAGCACAAACCAUUUAGGGAAAGUUUGAAGUCAGACCAGAUGUGAGAGCGGGGCCUUCCAAAGGGAAGAGAAUUCAGAGAAAAUGAGGAGUAAAAGAAGAGCAAAAAGAACAUUGGUAAGGCAUGGAUUCAAGGCUAGCUUUGCAAGUUCCCAGACUUCACUAGUGGCCAUGGACUUACCGAUGACCUCAGAGCAUGUCACAGUACUGACACAUCUUCAGCAAGUACCUGAGCAAGGGAAGGGAAUGGAGGAAUGCAGGGAAACAAGGCACGUGACAAACAGUAGUCAUAUCUGUCUCACCACUGCCUUGACACCACGUUACCCUUUUCUUAGAGAAGCUAAGACCCUUAGAAAUUAAAUGGUCUGAAAGCUUCCAGAAUCUAACUACACCCUGUUGCCAAAAUUACCUUUCACCAACAGUGAGUAAACUCUGUGAUCAAUAAACAACAAAAGUUACAACGAGUCUGGAAAAGACCAAGGAGGUUAGCCUAAGAUAUCACCUUUUGCCAGGUAAAUCCAUCCAUCCUGGAGAGACUCCCACUGUCUUCCAAAAUUCCUACCAAUCAAAGACUUCUCUACACUACCCUCACUAUGCCAAGAAAUAAUGUUGGUGGCUAAGAACUGCCAUUCUAUGUAAUUCAACUAACAGGUGUGAAAUCUACAUUGUGGUGCAGUCUGUAUAAGUAGAGUUGAGUCACAGAGGAUUCCAAGGGCAGGAGAAGGCAAGCACCCUGGGAUGAUGGACAAGGCUCUGAAUAUAAAGGGCUCCAGGAUAGCCCUAUGUGCUUCCGGGGUGUGAAGGCGGACUUCUCCAGCUUAAGGUCCGGGAGCCUAGAACCCUGCCUAGUAUAUGGAAUACCUUCACUCAAAAGGUCUGUUGUACUGAGGAAGGCACAAAGGCUAGAAAGAAAAUGGUGCAGAGGAGUGGGUUCACAAUGAGCAGGGCCAGUGUCUAUCACAGUCAGAAAUGAUGAUGUUAGGGUGAUGCAGUCAAAAGUCCUUUCUCUCAGGUGCUCCUGCUUGGGAAGAAGGCUGUCUGAUUCAUUCUUGCCAUUUUUUUCCAGAUGGUUAGGCAGAACCAAGGAGAAGAUUUUCUGUUUUGCCCCUCCAGGUGGAACAUUGGGUCCUCUCCUCUUCAAGAGUUUCUCCCAUCUAUAAGUCACAGAACUCUGCACCACUCUAACUACCUUUAAAAGGAUUAUUUUUAAGUUACGUGUACCUGUGCUUGUCUCUGUGGAGGCAUGUGCACAUGGAUACAGAUGACUGAGGAGGCCAGAGGAGGACAUCAAAUCUCCUGGAGGUAGAGUUGCAGGAACGGGUGCUGGGGACUGAACUUGGGCUCUCUCCAUGAGCAGAAUAUGCUUUUAACUGCUGAGUCCUCCCCCAGUCCUACUAUUGGCUCUUAUGCCUUAACAAACCACUUUCAUGCCUGUUAGCAUAUGGAGUCUUACAACUGUCCUGUGCUGCGGGUAUUUCUUAGGUCGGACGUGGUGAGUAAGAUCCUUAGCUGGAGGUGGAGGCUGCAGGUGUGGCUUCUGAAAGGCUCCCUGGGGUCAGCAGUUUUCCUGGCUUAUCUGUGUAGAACUGAUGAAAUCACAAAGUCCCCAGGCAUGAAAACGGGCUGUACAGGAGGCAGUGAGUUGUGCUCAUUUUGAAGAUGGCAGGGAUGUAAGUCCAGAAAGGCAGUCAGCCUGUAAGAGCAAGAAAAGACCUGGGAACAGGAGCCUUCUAAGUCUACCAGAAAGAACAUGGGCUGCCGGCACACUGCCUGCAGCUCAGAUACACAGCUCUGAGUUAAUGGCUUCCUGAAAUCCGCAUAUCAACCAGUUAGAUAAGCUCCAUUCCAUAUCCAGGCACAUCAGGCUGCUUGGCAGUUGGCUCUUUCUUGUUUUUCUUUUUUAAUUAAUUGGUUGUGACAGGGUUCUUCUAUGCAGCAUAGGGUUGUCUUGAAUUCACAAUCACCUUCUUCAAGACCUCCACAGUGCCAGGAAUUACAGGCAACUACCAGCAUACCUAGCUCAGAUGUUUCUGGAAACUGAGCCUGUUUCUAACACAGCUUCAUCUUUGUUACAGGACUUUGUGUGUGCCCUUCAAAUUCAUUAGAAGCUGUAACAGCUUUAUUUAUCUAUUAGUUACAUCUGUUCCCACCGGAAUACAGGUUCCUUCAGAAGACAUAGGCCCUGAAUGCACUCACCAUGGAGCCCCUACUGCCUACAACACUGUCUGGCAAACAGAAAGUUGUCCCGUUUUCGAAAAGACUCACACCUUCUGCUAUGAUUACACUGUAGCUGAGGGAAACCAGAAACCAAGAUGGUGGUAGAGUGUUCAUGUAGAUCUUAAAGAAGACUUGAGGUGGGAUGGAGAAGAAAGGACAGCACCAAUCCCUGACACAGAGUCGUCCCCCCCAGCCCCCCCCCAGCCCCCCCUGCUUUUCCCUGAAGCUGGAAGCUCAGGUCCCUUGCAGAAUCUGCCAUGAAGCUGUCUGAUUGCUCCUUUCUCCUUUUCAACAAGCCUGCCUCCCAGCCCCUUAAGCACUUUGUUUCCAUCCUGUAUCUAAUUGCUUUUGGGUAAUUAUAUCAUUAACUCUUUGUAAUGAAUAAUAAAAAAUAAAUCACAUUUGUGUAAAGCUGUGUAGCAAGGUGCCCGAGUGAGCAAUUUUCAGCUCCUUUCCCUUCCUUCUUCGUCUUCACUCUCUGCCUUCUUGAAAGCCUCAGAAUUAGAAUGCCAGCCAAGUGGGGACACAAAACACGGAUACUUAAAGUGUCCCUGGGUGAUGAUGAUCUGCGAGGUUUGGAAAUCACUGACCUAGAGGAUCAGAGUCCUCAGAGACUAACAGGAAAAUGAACUACAAAGCAUUCACGUUGACUUACUUCUUGCCUCUGAAUCGCUCCAGGGAGAGCGUUCCUUCUCAGUAAUUCUAGGGCUGGGGCUGUGAUUUGGAAUCCACAGGAUGGGAAGAUGAUAGGAAAGGACAAUACCUGGGAGGUGCCCGCAUUUGUAACUAAUGAGUGAAUACUCAUUUGAAGGUCACCCGAGUCAGGAGAGUGGGAAGGAGAGUGUGGGUGCCAAUCUAGAGCUCAGGCCAGUUUCUACAAGGGGCAAGAAUGAUCUCACGGUCUGUGUCAUGAUGUACCCAGAACAUAGGUCUCGCACAUUAGCCUUGUAGAGAUCCCAAGUCCUAUUUGGGGUCCUGAGAGAGCCUGGCUUCCUAAAUUGCUCCCAGAUAAUGAGGUCAUGUCCACUGAGCAUGGAGGAGCCUCAGUGGUCUCAGAUCUUGAAGAAAUGAGCAGAGCAGAUUUCCAGGGACAUCAGAAUAUGCAUGUAUGGUGUGUUUCUGACAACAUGUAGGAAAUGUUCAAUACUCCAGCAAUUACGAACUUUCUGCUACAAGGCAAGCCACCAAACAGGUUUCCUUUAUUAAUGGGAAGAAAAUUCAUGGGUUAGUCCAGAGUCUAUUGCUAGCUAAAGGUAAAAGCAUUUAAGAGGUACAUAUGCACAUGUGUUGUAGGACCAAAAUGUCUGUGAAUAUGUUCCAAAGAAGCACUGUCUUAUUAUAUUGUCUUAUUUCAAGUCUAACUUUCAGCUUCUCACAGGUCACUUGUUAGUCACAGGAUGCUCAUCUAGUAUAUAAUUAUGAUUGGUGGCCUCCACUUUACACACUGAGGUAUUCUUCAGAAAAAGACUGCUAAAGAAAGAAGGGAAACUGAGGCACCCUUCAUUUUGUGCUCAGUUCAUAUUCAAGUCUGCAAAGUAUUUAACUGACUUGAACGUAGCCUGUGUGCCAAGAAUCCUGCCCUGGGUGCUGCUUGGACCAGCAUUCUGUUUCUACAGACAGCCUUGCUUUGCCUCUGGACUCCCACAUGUCUCUGAAUUUUAAGAUGUCUCUACUAAAAUGGAAGAUAGUUUAUGGGAAGAGAAUCUACAGGGUUGUGCCCUUCCUUUUCUGCUCUCUGUGGCUCAGCAGGCAAUGCUCAACUCUACCUAAGGGACCUCAUUUUUAGAGAAGAAGCUCUAAAAUCAAGAGGAGCAAAGAAGACCAAGAAGAGAGUUGCCUAGAAAGGAGGUAGGUGAGAUGCAGGCCUUUGUGAAUUGACAACUUUGAGUUUUGGUUUUUUGUUUUGUUUCCAAAGAAAGUGUAAGCAUUCAGUCCUAAGAAUUCUAUCUCCUAGGCUGCAGUAAACAAUCACGGCUGUAGGCUCUGCUUCUCACAAAGAACCCUGCAAGAUCCAAGGCUGUAAAUUGGAAUUCUGUACAGCUCUGAGGGAAAGCACUCACGGGUGCCAGGGCGAAGGGAAGGAUCAGUUCUCCUAUUCUUUGCAUGCCCAGUGUCAGACUCAGUGAAAUGUGAGCUGAGAUCUCCACCAGGGCAGGGAAACCGAAGCUGCGGACCUGCAGUAUACAUAGUGAUAUCCUCUGUGGCACCACAGCUGGCACGGCCGGUCUUAUGGUCACUCGCUUGCCUAAUGGGUGUGGUGACCAAGAGCUUCUGAAUGAGGUCACUCAGAGACCUGAGCUGACCCACAGGCUAGCUGAAUCCAUCCUUCUAAAUCACUCUCUGCUAAGGAGCUCGCCUUCUAUUCUUGGACGCACUUGUGCACAGGGACAAUCAAGGAAGAUUCUGAUGUCCAAGACGGUGAGUUAGAUGCCCAUUUCUGACUGUCAUGAUCUCUUACUGACCUCAUGGCUGGAAGUAAGCUCUCUCUGGGUUCUUGCCUCAAUGUGCCAGUGACAAUAGUUGUCCAUCCCACGAGGCAGGGACCAAAGGCAUUUUCCAAAGGCAUUAAGAGAAUUUAUGUGAGUUGUAUAUAUGUUCAGGAGACACUGAAAGUCUUUUUCUAGUAACCACAUGUCUGUCAGAAUCUGCACAUGAUUGACGUUCUCUUGGUCUGGAUGUUCCCCCAUGUCUUCAAUACCUCACACAUUGCCUGGUAUCUAGUAAGAGUUUAGUGGUGUUCUGUGAACCAGGAGCAGAACUCAUCCCUUGGCUGGGACACUUUCAACACUCCACAUCACCCUGGUUCUGUGGCCGCCUGGGACACUGUCCCAUGUGCUUAUGGCUUCCACCCUGUAAAGGGGACACUGAAUUCUAAUACCAUGUCAGUUUUAGAGCGUAGUUCAAAGUAAGUAAGAGUGGUUUCAGAUUCUCUUCAGAAUCACUCGGUGGAAAAGGGCAUCUAAGAAAUAGUCACCGUGACCCUAAUGAGCAGCCCUGGUUUGGGCUGAAGAACAAUGUGCUGCUCUGAGGAAGAGAGAGAGGAUACCACAGGCUUCACAGGAAAACACAGGCUAGGAGUAACCUCAUCAACUGUCACAGUUCACACAUGACUGUUAUCAUCUUGUGGGCCGCUGAUUCCCUUCCUAUCUAAGAUUUAACAACUUUCCUCUCCUGUUCCCGAUUCCCAGCAUUCCUGUGUUGGACACUGAGUUAGGAUGGGGAGAUAGGACCAUGUCUGUCCUUGGUCGGAAAGAGGAGUGUAUCAACCAGUAAUUAUGUACUAGUGGGCCCCACACAGAAGAACCACAUCAGAAGAGCAGAAAGAACGUCUAAUGUUGGCUUUGUCUCUUAGGGAGUCAACUCCAGGUUCCUCAUCUGUAAAGUGUUGAUAAUAACACAUACUUUACUCAUCAAAUAUGAUUGAGCUGUUUUAAAUGUUUACUGGGAUAGUCCUUGGUGCAAAAUCCAAGAGGACUCCAUUUCUUCUUCGUCAUCGUGAUUGUUGCACACAUUCAAAAAAGAGGGAAGGAAAGAGGAAGGAGGAGGGAGAGUGAGAGAGUACAUUUGUGUGCACAUACUGGUGGAAGGACAUGAGAUGAAGAGGGGAUGAAAGGUCACAUAUCAUAGAAGAUCACAUGGUGUCAGGAAUCUCAUGCAGGAUUCCCCAUGAUUCAUAGAAGUGAUUAAAAUAUGAAGUCUAGAGGCAGCUUCCUCAGACACUCUCCGUUUUGGGCUCCUUUGUCACCUCUAUGGCUCCUUUCUCUCUUCUAGUUCUUGGAAGAACAGGUGAUGUUAAUAUUAGUUGACUCCUAUCCCUUUAUUGGGCCCUUAGUUCACAUGAGUCCCAUCUCCAUAAUUUAUCAAUGCCACUUGAUAAAACAUUCUACUUGAGGCCAUUAAGCUACAACUAAGGAAGAAAUGGCCUCAUGAACUUUUCUGAAGGGGGAUAAUGAAUUGUCCUUAAAUAACCCUAAAAGGUCAGUGUUCACACGGAUUUCUAGGCCUAUAAUCAAGGAAGCAACCAACCAGAGAGGAGUAGGGAUGGGUCCAGACAGAUUUCAUGGUUAUUUAAGCAAAAGCCCCUCAUCUAUGAGCAUUAGAUGGUCUUAGCUACACUAUGGAGAGCCUGUGUGAAAAUCACUCUACAUCUCCAAAUUUGCUUCUUGGGCAUUGGUAGGGCAAGUGACAUGGGACAGAUGAGAACUGGGUGACUGUAACUAGGGAAAAGGUCUGACCAUAGCUAGACCAAUGUAUCCCUUUUACAGGCCAUGUCUGCAGAUUGGAAGAUGAGAGACAAGUUCUAAGGACCAUGUCCUGGGUUAUCAUUCACAUUUAAAGAAAUCUUAAGUGGAUGGAUAGUCUCUGCCUGCUCUCUAUGGCAGAAGCAGUCUGUGUUACUUAUGACUCCCGCGGCUCUUGAGAUGUUACUAAUAGUGAAAUUUGAGGCAGUAUGUGAAGGUCCUCCAAAGAGAGAGGCAUAAAAUGCCCUCAAUCAUCUCCUCUUCCCUUGCCUAUACAUAGAUCAGAAUGGGUUCUUGUAUUAUAUUAGACCCAGAAAUAAUAUGAGUCUAGCCUUGAGGCCAAAGAAGAAAGUAACGAAAGCCAAAGGCUUCUUUAGGGACACCUACUUGUUAGGACUCAAAGAGCUUAGAUCCUAGUUGUAACUUCCCCGAAGGCAGACUUAGAGUAAGAACUUUUGGUCGUCCAUGUCUCUCCUCCAUUCCCAAAGUGUACAAGGAUUUCAGUCUCACCACACAGAGGGAACAUGGAUUCUAGGCCUCCCACUGGGAUCCAGGAGGAGCCAUCCUUCUGUUGCCAUACUGACUCCAAAGCUAUGUGGAACGGGAAUCUGCAGUGUUCAAGGGUUCCUGCUGGGAAAUGGAAGACACCUAUGGUGCUGCUGUCUCUGUAUUCCUAGGAUGUAGAGUCCAGUUACAAAGAGAAACUAAGACAAGCAAGAUUGUUCAUGACAGUAAACCCAGCUUUGGGGAGGCUGAGACAGGAGGAUUACUGUAAAUCUAAUGCCAGCUGGGCUAUUUGUUGAGUGAGUACUGAAAUAGCCUGGACUACACACUGAGACUAUAUCUCAAGAAUAAAAAAGAUGAAAAGUAAAAUUGUUGUGAUUUGAAAAUCACAGCAGCUGAGGAAACAGUAAGCAAGCAGAGCCAGCCUUCCAAAGGCAAGGGUUCUGGUUCUGCUGAUGCAACCCAGCACUUGGGAGGCAGAGGCAGGCGAAUUUCUGAGUUCGAGGCCAGCCUGGUCUACAGAGUGAGUUCCAGUUCCAGGACAGCCAGGCCUACACAGAGAAACCCUGUCUCGAAAAACCAAAGGAAAAAAAAAAGAAAAAAGAAAUACUAGAGAGCCAGGUGUGGUGCUGUAUGCCUUCACCAAGCACUUGGGAGGCAGAAGCGUGCAGAUCUGUGAGUCUGAGGCAAGCUUGUUCUACAGAGCUAGUUCCAGGUUAGCCAAGGCUAAUCAGGGAAACCCUAUCUCACCAAUACCCCAAAAGAAAAUAAUUGAAAAACUUUAUAGACUGAAGGAAUGGCUCAGUGCCUAAGAACACUGUCUGAUCUUCCAGAGGAACCAGGUUCAAGCACCCACAUCCACAUGAAAGCUCACAGCUAUAACUCUAGAUCCAGGGAAGCUAAUAUCCUCUUCUGGUCUCUGUGGACACUGAAAAUAUGACAGAUGACGGCAGAACCCCAGAGGCAUAAAAAUUAAUAAACCGUAAACGAAGAAAAAAAAUCUUAGAAAAAGAAUAUACUCGAAAAACUUUACAUUGGUAUUGAACAAGUACAGAUUCUAUUGUCACUAUUUCCUAGCCAGUAUUAUGGUUUAUAUAGCAUUAGCACUGUAUUACAUAUAACAAUCUGAAGAUGACAAAAUGUACAGGAGGGUUGCAUAAGUUAUGCAUAAGUGAUAUGCAAAUGCCAUGCCCUCUUUUUCUAUGGAAUUUGAGCACCUGUGGAGGUUGGUGCCCUUGCCUUGGAGGGAAGGCCUGGAACUAAUAACGCUCUUUGCAUGCUGAAGAAAGAGACUCCACUCUAUCAAGGGUCAGAUGACAAUGAUUUUUCAAAAAGACUUUAAAGGUUUUGUUUAUGUGUAUGUGUGUCUCUCUGUGAAUGUGCAUAUAAGCACAGUGGCCUGUGGAGGCCAGAAGAGGGCACUGGGUCCCCUGGAGCUGGAGUCCUGGGUGGAUAUAAUGUACCCAGUGUGGAUGCUGAGACUGAAAUUUGGAUCCUAGGCAGGAACAGUAGGUACUUUUACCCACUGGACCAUCUCUGUAACCUUGGGAUUUUGUUUUAGAAUGGAAAUUAAAGAUGGCUUCAUGCAGAAUAUUAUGCUUGAGUCAGAUUUAGGAGAUGACGGGACAAGUAUCUCAGACAGGCUAGAUACAGUCAACCUAGGUAUAUAUUAAUUCAUUCAGUACCACAGAACCUGUCUCAUGGGCAGGGUACCAAGGAUGAAGUACAGGAUGAGGUACAAGGAUGAACACAGACACGUCCCUCCCCUUAAGAGCUGAGAGUCUCAAUGUGGUCCAAUUCAGUGUGUAAUUACCAUGGCAGCAGAGUUAUCACCCUCAAGCUUGGGUAAACAGCUAAGCCUGUUGAUUAGGAAGAACAUCCCAGCAAAGACACCAUUUCAGUGGCGCCUAAAGGAUUCCAGUACGAGAGAAGUGAUGAACAGUUGAUCAUGGUGAAGGAUGGACACCAGCAAACACACAGAGGAGUGAAGGCACUGGGUGUAUGUGGGGUCAGGGAGAUGGAUCACAGGGUGUACGGUUCUAACACGACAGGAUGAGGUUGGCGGAGAGAUGACCAGACCCAAAUGCCAUGUAGACAUUUUGUGGAGGUUGGGAGCUGCUGAUAAGCACCUGGGUUCCACAAGGGUUGCUGAGGGCAAGGGCUCGCCACUCUAGCAGGAGGUGGUUGGCAGGAAAAGGAUGGAGCAGUACAGCCUAUUAGUCAGAGCAGGCCUGAUGUACAGCCAUCAUACAGAGCUUAGUCUCCUGCAGGUUCUGUGUUUGCAUCUGCAAAGUAGGGAAUUAGAAGCACUGCUUGGUAACUAUUCUAAGAAGGUAGCUCGGACAGGUACAAACAUAAGGCAAAAUGCCUGAUUUUGGCCCAUGAUUUUUCUCUAUCUAAAGUGGAGAGGUUUUUUGCUGCUGUUACUUUGUUUUGUCUUGCUUUUUUUGUUUGUUUGUUUUGUUUUCUGUUUUUUGUUUUCAGACCAGAACACAGAACGUCAUGCUAACAGGUCAGCCUAUAUGCUCAGGCCAUGGGUUUUCUUCUGUGGUGCCAUUUCAGUGAUUGCCCUGUAAACACAAAGUCUUUUCUAGGAUGAACUGCACAGUGCUGUUGAGCUACUUAUGAAAGGGGACUGAUGGGCAUUGUUUUCAUUUGGAGUUUGCAUAGCGUGUUCACAGCUGAGAUGGAAAGUUGCCAUAGUUACCUGUGAGAACUGCUAAACAGAGCAAUCACUGCUAAAAUCUAUCUAUCAAGGUCAACUAGACAUUUCCAAUCGCUGCCAAAUGAUUUCUGCCCAGUGGAAGUUAAUGAAAUGACUAAAAGAAGUUGAAAACAAGGUUAAUGUGGACACACUUUGAGUAUAUUUAUGUAACCAGCCAUUUGCAAGUGGAUCUUCCCCGCUGGAAACUCUGCAGUAUAACAAGGCAUCUGGAGGGGAAGUUUAGAGUAACAACACAUUUGGAAUUUGGCACCGAUCACUGCCUUCAAAUCCAGCCCAUCAUUAACAGCUUCUGUAGAGUGUUGUUCCUCCUCCAGGGGCUAUAAAAGCAGACCAAACCUUCCUCAAUAGUAACUUCCUUUUUCGGUCAGCUGUUCUUGCUGACUUCCCAUUCUAGGGGCCCACUGUUUUCACUGGCUGUGCUGACCUUGAGAACAGCGCAGACCACUUGCAUUAGAGUGGUCCAGGAAGAGGAAGGGAAGACAGACACCAUCACAUGAUGUCAUCCUUAGCUCAGUGCUUGUGAAAUUGUUAUGUGCAUACAGGUCACCCGGAGGUCUGGUUGACCCAGAGACGUUGAUUCAGAAGGUGUGGGGUGAGGCUACUGAGUCUGACUCUUAAACAUUGCCAGGAGCUUUCCAAACUCCUGGCUCACAGAUUAUAUCUUAAACAGCCAGGCCCCAGUUUCUCUCUUUAUGUGUCUGUUGGAAUCACUUUCAUUCUUCCUGGUGCUUGGUACACACUUGUUCUUUCUCAUUCGCGUGUGUGUUACAGCUGGGAAAGAUAUGUCUUCCACUCUCAGGCCUACCUACCAGUGCACAGCAUAGAGGCUUCCUCAGAAUCUUUUUAAAGAUCCAUACUUUCAUUUUACAAGACCACGCUGAACAAACAAUAGAUCAGCAAAUAAGUGUUCAGGCUACAUUUGGAGUGAGUGACAUGUUUUUGUCCCAUGGUAAAGUAGCAUUAAUCUUUGGCCCAUAGAAAAUGCAGGACACGUCUUUGUUGAAUGAACUAAAUUAAAGCAAAACAACAUAUGUCUUAGCUUCUAACAUUCUUCUGAUAAAACGUAGAUUUAUACUUUAAGUUAUGAUAAAUAUUUAAUUGCUUUGAAAAAUCAUACUUAUUAUAUAUUUGAAAUCAACUGAACUUUUGUCCAAAUAUUAUGACCUCCAGAUUUUACUUGCCUGUAAACUAAUCUAUACUUAUUCCCCUACAAUUCUAUUUGACAUGUCUGAAUACUUGAUAGCAUAUACAUUUUAUCACUCUAUUCCUGUGAAUGGCAGGUGCCUACUAACUCAGCCAGGGUUGUCUUUAUUUCCUCUCACUAGGAGAGGUAAAUAGAAGUGAAUACUAUGGAAAGUCAUAAAUACCACUGACUACUACUUCCUCCUAGACCACUCAGGUAUUAGGAGACUCAAUAGCAAGCAUUCUUCUUAGGUGAAUUUUAGACCUCUGCAGCCAUUAGCUCCAGAGGUCACUAGUUAAAUAACUGUGGACAUUUAUACAAUGGCGAAUAUCUCACUGAAAAAUUAUAUACUUCCUUUGAUCACAUCUUAGCAUCUGUGCCUCUGAGUUAAUUUGUAUCACUACAUUUUAAAGAGACUGGAAUGGAGACUUAGUGAUGUUUGUUUUCUUAGCUACUAGGUUGCAAAGGUGAGUUCUUUUGCUAUUUAUUUUAUUUUUAACUUCUUAAAACUGUGAUCAGGGCUUUAUGAUAUUUUUAUGUUAGGGAUAGAACUAUAGCUGAAAAGCAGGAGAUAACAUAACACAAUGUGCUUAAUUAAAGUGCAGCUCUACUUAUAAUUCCUGUAGCUUUUUCUCCCCUUUAGAAAUCGCCUUGCUUUUUUUUUCUAACUCUGGAUGAGUGACUUUUCCGGUACUCUGCUGAGUUCUUCGUUCUUGACUGAGAUAAGCUCCACUGGAUCAAAGCACCAUGCCUUCAGCAACGUGGCUUUCUUUGUCACUGCCCAGGGCUGAGGUUGGGGAAGCAGGUGAGAGUAUACAUGGAUGUAACGGGACUUUGUGACCCCAGUGCUUGAAAGGGAGCGACAUUUUCCUGGCCCCUUCUACCAUAGUGCCUCAGAGAAUCAACCCACCUGGGAUUUCUUGGCCAGUUGUUUUUUUCUAGACAGACUUUCACUUAUCUUUCAGACUGACCCUGGCCUGUAUAAAUAGUGGAGCAUGACCUUGAACUUCUAUCUACCUUGCCUCUACCUCCUUGUAUAGUUUUACAGAUGUGUGUUACCACACCCGAGUUAUAGGGUGCUGAAGAGCAAAUCCAGGGCUUCAGGCAUAGAAAGCAGACACUUUCCUAACUGGCCCUUUGGCUAAAUAUCUCCUUUUGGAUGUACCUGAAAUCAAGUGGCCUCACUGGGUCAGGCAAUGUAAAACUUUAGAGGUUUUGUUGUUUUGUUUUAUUUGUUUCAAGACAUGAUGUAGCUCUGGCUGAACUCACAGCGUAGACCAGGCUGGACUCAAACUCUCAAGAGGUUUUGUGUUGCCUUUUAUCUAUCUUUCCUUCUUUCGGCCUCAGACCAGAGGAACCAUUUAACCAUAACAGCCACAGUCACACUGUCCAGGUUACACUAAAGAACCAUGGAACCUGAGCCCGAGUAUAGUAACAUUAGUAGAGUUUUGUUGCCUAAAUUAUAACAGAACUAAAUUUUGGUACCUAAUAUAAAAUGAGAACCAAUGUAGGACCAAGGCUUUACUGAAUUCACUAAAAUGGGGCAUCUAAACACAUUCCCAGCGUCAUCUUGCUGACCCAGCACAGGAAGGAGUCUAGGACUUAUAGAUGGUAGCAUCUUUUAAAGAAAUCCAAGCCAUACCUACCUGAGAAUCUAUAAGGUAAAGCACGCUUUUUCUUUUUCCUCUCCAAAAGAUCCCUCCUCUGUUCUUCUUGCAGAAUGAGCCCUAUAAUUGCUUAAUUCACCACUUCCUUCUGACAGACACAGUUAUAUGUGUAUAUGCAGUGCACACAUACAUAAACAUGAGUCAGCUAACAACUGACAAGAAAUUAAAUAUUUAAAGAUGUUGCUGGUCCUGUAGCUAUCACAAGCAUCUAGUUAGCAUCUCAUAUUGGAAGGAAAUCCCCUAACUAGCUCCUUUCUCCCUGCCCCCACUGCGCUCCUGAUUAUUUACAUAAGGGCUUUAAGCACAUAGUGUUAUUUCUAGCUUUCACAUCCAAUGUUGGGGAAAAGCGGACCUUGGUGAAUUUUAAAAUUUCAGGGUUAAUAGGAUAAUUCUGGAAUGGUAAGUAUUUAUUUAGCUUUUAUGUAAGAAAAUGCAGGAAUUUAAUUCUCUUCUGACAGAAGACACAGUUCAUUCCCGCCCCCGCCCCCCCCAUAAUAGGGACAUUUAAAAGUGCAUGAGGGCCCACUUUCUGCUUCAUUUCCUGUAAAUAACUUUACACUCACUUCAAAGUUGACCUUUCACCCAGUUCAAAAUUCAUGUUGCUAAGAACUUGUUGCGGGAGGAGUGAAGCAGUGGGGGUGGGAUAAAAUAACUGUAUCCUGCUUUAUUUACUUUGUCCUGAACACCUUUGAGGGUCUAUAAUUUCCGGGGAUGCCCUGGCAGGCUGAGUGAAAUGUCUGCCAAAACUCACAUCAGACUAGUGCCCUGUUAUUUUUUUUUCCACUGCUGUUUUAAAAAGCGCCAUUAGGGAAGCUUAGUUACAAUAAUUCCCUCCCAGUAUCGUCAAUUUUCCAUGAAUUCAGGAAGGCCACAGCAUAGAUCUCAAAUACACAGAAAAUUCUACAUGGAAACUGGCUUUCAUGGAGAGGAAAUUUACAUCUACUUAAUAUUACAGAAAAUCACACAAGUUAAGUAUAAAAUGCUAACUAGCGAGUUGUAGAAUGAAAUCAAGCUAGACCUAUUUACUGGAAACAGAAUUAAAAUUAUCGUGCACUUCCUUGGUUACUGGAGGAAGCAAGAAGCCUUUAAAAAUAGACACUAUUCUUCCUGGCCGUUGUUUAAAAUUCUGAUUCUCAACACUGAAAUUUCUUACUAUCUCUAACAUGCCUGAACCCAAAAAAGCACAUCCAAAUGUUUUAGGAAAAGCUUUAGGGAAAAUUUAAUUCUCUUCCCUUUUCGGCAAAGCCUUUGAAUAAAGGCCUAUGUUUACUUUAGUCAGUGUGCUUUGAGAACUGUAAGACACAUUUAGUGGGAGCCAGAAAGAGUUCCUUCACAUAUCCUAGGCUUUGGGAUUCCUUUGUUUCUUGCUUCUCAAAUGAGAGGAGAUUAACAAGUAUUGUGUUGUUAACAGAACCGUUGGUCAUUCCGGCUCCAUUUUAAUGUACCACGAACAAACACAGUGUGCAUGAGGGUGGAGGAUAGAGAGAGACAGAAGAAGAGUGGGGAAUAGGAAGUGUGGACAUUUGUGGUCAAUCACCUAGAUGAGGAAUAUCAUUGUAAACAAUUUAUAACAUUUCAAGGCUGGCAAGAUGGCUCAUCAGUAAAGAACACAUGCUGCUUAUCUAGAGGAUCUGAGCUCCAUUCCGAGCACCCACCUAAUGGCUCAUAACUGACUGUAACGCAAGUUCCAGAAAUCCAGCGCUCCUUUCUGGCCUCUGAGUGACCAGACAUACCUACAUGCAGACAUUCACAUAUACACAAAACAUAAAACAAACAAACCUUUAACGAAAGAUUGUGCUAAAUCUGAAAAUACUAAAUCCAUUGGUCUUUAGUAUUUGACAUCUUUAAAAGAAAAAAAAAACUAAUAUCAAAAGAAUCAAAAUGCAAUCUCUCCUCAUGAAAUUAACAUUGUCUUAGUUUAGCUCCCAGAAUUCCAAUUCAUCAAAAAUAGUGUCUUUAUGACUGUCAGGCUGUCGGUUUUCUGACAUCUUAUUUUAAACAGAAUGGUUAGGAAGUGGUUGUGGCAACUAUGGGCCAACCUGAAAAUACUAACAUCCAUCUCUACUAAUAAAACGAAGGUGUCUUCCUUUCGUCACUUCAGAACCUUUACUCUCACCAAACAGGGCACAUCCUACGAGGUAAAGGGAAGAGUGCAGAAGAAGACAGUGUAUUGCACUGAAUACCAAGGAUAGCUGUGUUUCUGAAGCCCAUGGAAAUGUGUUCCUCUGUCAACCUGAAUAAGCUUUGGUCCCCACACAGCCGCCUGAGCUCAUUAGGGUCUCUGCACUGGGUCUCGUGUUUCUGUUGAAGGGCUGUGGUCAAGGACGUUAUUUAUGGGCUCUGUAGAAGGGGCACACAAUGACUGUUCUUUAUCUUGUGUUUCACCAGGCUGCUCAGGAAAUUUAUGAAAAAUCCAUUGUAGAAUGCUC